AACGAACGCUGGCGGCAUGCCUAACACAUGCAAGUCAAACGAGAUCUUCGGGUCUAGUGGCGCACGGGUGCGUAACGCGUGGGAAUCUGCCCUUUGGUUCGGAAUAACAGUCGGAAACGACUGCUAAUACCGGAUGAUGACGAAAGUCCAAAGAUUUAUCGCCAGAGGAUGAGCCCGCGUAGGAUUAGCUAGUUGGUGUGGUAAAGGCGCACCAAGGCGACGAUCCUUAGCUGGUCUGAGAGGAUGAUCAGCCACACUGGGACUGAGACACGGCCCAGACUCCUACGGGAGGCAGCGGUGGGGAAUAUUGGACAAUGGGCGAAAGCCUGAUCCAGCAAUGCCGCGUGAGUGAUGAAGGCCUUAGGGUUGUAAAGCUCUUUUACCCGGGAUGAUAAUGACAGUACCGGGAGAAUAAGCUCCGGCUAACUCCGUGCCAGCCGCCGCAGUAA
Molecule: ribosomal RNA, 449 nt
Filed under: uncultured bacterium
Lineage: Bacteria
Description: partial 16S ribosomal RNA
Rfam family: Bacterial small subunit ribosomal RNA
Source: RNAcentral